AGAGUUUGAUCAUGGCUCAGGAUGAACGCUAGCGGCAGGCCUAAUACAUGCAAGUCGAGCGGUAGAGAUACUUCGGGUAUUUUGAGAGCGGCGCACGGGUGCGUAACACGUAUGCAACCUACCUUAUACAGGGGGAUAGCCCGGAGAAAUCCGGAUUAAUACCCCAUGGUACUGAUGGAUGGCAUCGUUUAUCAGUUAAAGAUUUAUCGGUAUAAGAUGGGCAUGCGUCUGAUUAGCUAGUUGGUGGGGUAACGGCUCACCAAGGCGACGAUCAGUAGGGGUUCUGAGAGGAAGGUCCCCCACACUGGCACUGAGAUACGGGCCAGACUCCUACGGGAGGCAGCAGUAGGGAAUAUUGGGCAAUGGACGAGAGUCUGACCCAGCCAUGCCGCGUGCAGGAAGACGGCCUAUUGGGUUGUAAACUGCUUUUAUACGGGAAGAAAAGGCCCAUGCGUGGGACAUUGCCGGUACCGUAUGAAUAAGCACCGGCUAACUCCGUGCCAGCAGCCGCGGUAAUACGGAGGGUGCAAGCGUUGUCCGGAUUUAUUGGGUUUAAAGGGUGCGUAGGCGGCUGAUUAAGUCAGCGGUGAAAGACUUCGGCUCAACCGGAGCAGUGCCGUUGAUACUGGUUAGCUUGAGUGCUGCAGGGGUACAUGGAAUUGAUGGUGUAGCGGUGAAAUGCAUAGAUACCAUCAGGAACACCGAUAGCGAAGGCAUUGUACUGGGCAGCAACUGACGCUGAUGCACGAAAGCGUGGGGAGCGAACAGGAUUAGAUACCCUGGUAGUCCACGCCGUAAACGAUGAUUACUCGCUGUUAUGCCUUUUGGUGUAUGCGGCCAAGCGAAAGCGUUAAGUAAUCCACCUGG
This 867-nucleotide ribosomal RNA is filed under the name Algoriphagus sp. MOLA 423. RNAcentral's name for it is "bacterial SSU rRNA". It matches the Rfam family "Bacterial small subunit ribosomal RNA", at positions 9 to 873 of the family's 1533-position model. The record is from RNAcentral. Lineage: Bacteria; Pseudomonadati; Bacteroidota; Cytophagia; Cytophagales; Cyclobacteriaceae.